Molecule: ribosomal RNA, 288 nt
Filed under: Ophionereis schayeri lineage E KMN-2013
Lineage: Eukaryota; Metazoa; Echinodermata; Ophiuroidea; Amphilepidida; Ophionereidae
Description: partial large subunit ribosomal RNA
Rfam family: Archaeal large subunit ribosomal RNA
Source: RNAcentral
CAUUAGCCUGUUAAUUGUAGGCUGGCAUCAACGGUUAGACGACAGAAAGUCUGUCUUUUUCUUUAUUUCUUUAAUUUAACAUUUAAGUGAAGAGGCUUAAAUUAAACAGUGGGACGAGAAGACCCUAUUGAGCUUUAGGGCUGUUGUUUGUUUAUAAUAUAAGGUCUUUGGGUUGGGGCAACCACUUCUACAUUUUAACAGGAGUAAAAUAAAUUUGAAUCAAGUCUUUUUAGACCCGGAAAUGUUCCGGAAAUUGGAAAAAGUUACCUUAGGGAUAACAGCGUAAUU